CUCGCAACCAAGGGGUGCCCUGUUACGAUUCGUAGCGGAGUGCUGAGAUACCGUUUUGGUAAACCCUUAGAACCUGAUCCGGAUCAUACCGGCGGAGGGAUGGUGCUAACUCCCCAG
This 117-nucleotide non-coding RNA is filed under the name Alishewanella agri. RNAcentral describes it as "TPP sequence". It matches the Rfam family "TPP riboswitch aptamer (THI element)". From Rfam's summary of the family: Vitamin B(1) in its active form thiamin pyrophosphate (TPP) is an essential coenzyme that is synthesised by coupling of pyrimidine and thiazole moieties in bacteria. The previously detected thiamin-regulatory element, thi box was extended, resulting in a new, highly conserved RNA secondary structure, the THI element, which is widely distributed in eubacteria and also occurs in some archaea. The record is from RNAcentral. Lineage: Bacteria; Pseudomonadati; Pseudomonadota; Gammaproteobacteria; Alteromonadales; Alteromonadaceae. RNAcentral also lists the same sequence under 1 other name.